This 253-nucleotide ribosomal RNA is filed under the name uncultured bacterium. RNAcentral's name for it is "partial 16S ribosomal RNA". It matches the Rfam family "Bacterial small subunit ribosomal RNA", at positions 524 to 776 of the family's 1533-position model. The record is from RNAcentral.
UACGUAGGGGGCAAGCGUUGUCCGGAAUUAUUGGGCGUAAAGAGCGUGUAGGCGGUCCGGUAAGUCAGCUGUGAAAGUCAAGGGCUCAACCCUUGAAAGCCGGUUGAUACUGCCGGGCUAGAGUCCGGAAGAGGCGAGUGGAAUUCCCGGUGUAGCGGUGAAAUGCGCAGAUAUCGGGAGGAACACCGAUGGCGAAGGCAGUUCUCUGGGACGGUACUGACGCUGAGACGCGAAAGCGUGGGGAGCGAACAGG